RNAcentral lists this ribosomal RNA (347 nucleotides) under uncultured bacterium. Its description in RNAcentral is "bacterial SSU rRNA". It matches the Rfam family "Bacterial small subunit ribosomal RNA", at positions 8 to 352 of the family's 1533-position model. The record is from RNAcentral.
AGAGUUGAUCAUGGCUCAGAUUGAACGCUGGUCGGCAUGCCUAACACAUGCAAUGUUGACUCUGAUGCCGGGAGCUUGCUCUUGGAUUCAUCGGCGGUCGUGUCACCUAAUGCCUUGGUAUCUCCUCUGGUAGUGGCGGUCACCGUUUCGAAAGGGGCCCUAAUCCCUCAUACGUCGUUCGGGAGAAAUCAGGGGACCUUCGGGCCUUGCGCUAUCAGCAUGAGCCUAGGUCGGAUUAGCUUGUUGGUGAGGUAAUGGCUCUCCUAGGCGUCGAUCCGUAACUGGUCUGUGAGGAUGAUCAGUCACACCGGACCUGCGACACGGUCCAGGCUCCUACGGGAGGCUGC